This 1486-nucleotide unclassified non-coding RNA is filed under the name Leishmania donovani. RNAcentral describes it as "gene:LdHU3.31.2940(CDS-product:hypothetical_prote in_conserved)". The record is from RNAcentral. Lineage: Eukaryota; Euglenozoa; Kinetoplastea; Trypanosomatida; Trypanosomatidae.
UUGCGUGGUGCAUUCACUUUCACAGCUCCGUGUGCAACGCAUCGCAUCCCUACACAGUGACCGCAUAAACCACCACUCUCUUCAUAACUCUUCUCAGCACACACCGAUGAGCAUCACCGCCGGUACGCUGCCUCCGGUGAAGGGCACCUCGGUCAAGAAGUCGCCGCGGAAGGGGCGGCCGGCAGACAGCAUGGGGAACGGCACUGGUGCUGCAGCAGACCCUCAUUGCUACCACAAAUGCCGCUGCUACGGUCAUGACGAUACACUCCCCAACUACAAGCUUCUCACGAUUCCGCGUACCAACAACUACUACGCAGCCACUGGAGGCUGCCCGUGCGUGCCUCGCGUAGCAGCGCACCCUGGUAGCUGGCGACUGAAGCAGGGUCAGCUGCGCUCUUCUACCUAUCGCUGCGGCACCGGGUGCAUCAAGAAGAGCGCUGCACUGACUUUGGGGUGCUGCCACCACAGCGGCGACCAGUACGGAUGGCGGCGGGGGCCGCACACGGUCCUGGAUAAGAACACCGCAGCGACGGGCAAGUGUGACACGUUCGGCAAUCUCGCCUUCAAGUCCACCUCCCGCGCGUACUGCGCUGUGGACGGCGACGACCUCAGCGACGUGAGCAGUGCGUCUCCACAGAAGCUGGAGGAUUUGGAGGCACUCAUUCUUGAGGAGCACCAGCAGCGCAUGCGUGUAGAGGAGGACGUCGAUGAGCUGGCCGGUAUCCAGCGCGACGGCACGGCGGACUGGUACAAGAAGAUCCACCACGACGCAGAACGCCGCCGGCUGCUUGCGCAGAUCUCCGAGGUGGAACUACAGGACCUUCUGCGUGAUGUGAAGAACAUUGUGGACCGCCCUCUCAACCAGACGAACAUGGAUCUGCUGCGUCGCAUCCUGCACCGCCAGGAGCACCUCCAGCGCCAGCGUGAGUACUAUGCUGCCCAGGAGCUGGAGUGAUGUGACGUUGCACUCCACGGCCCAAGGGUGGCCAGAUGUCAGAAAAGACAGGAGGGGGAGAAGGCAGCACCGAUGGCCUCACCGGUCGCAUUCCUUUUGGUGCAUCGAAUCACAGCAGAGGUGCCAACGGAUCUCACGCCUCCGUCCCGAACCACCGCAAGCGUCAUGGUGGCCGAAGCUGGCGGCGUGGUUUCAUGUUAUGUUGUUCCUUCUCCGUCCCUCUCUUGCCCUUCGCGGUAGUAUGUGACUCGAUGCGUCAAACCGUGGGAAGGACAUCCCGUGCUGGUGCGACCUCACCUUCCCCUUCCCCCACCCACCCACCCCCCUCGUUCGCUCCUUUUCGUCCACUUCGUAGAUGUACAGCGGCGCCUCUCCCCUUUUGCCCUCGUUUCUUUCCCUUCUACUUCGUCCAUUACGCAUGCAUAUGGUGCGGCAUGCCUCCUCCUCUCUUGUACUUGUUUACGUUGUGGAUCAUGAUGCAUGUGCUUGUGUGUGUGUGUGUGCUUCGUCUCUGUACGCAUGGCAGCCUUC